GACGAACGCUGGCGGCGUGCUUAACACAUGCAAGUCGAACGGAAAGGCCCUGCUUUUGUGUGGUGCUCGCGUGGCGAACGGGUGAGUAACACGUGAGUAACCUGCCCUUGACUUUGGGAUAACUUCAGGCAACUGGGGCUAAUACCGGCUAGGUGCUCCUGCUGCAUGGUGGGGGUUGGAAAGUUUCGGCGGGUGGGGAUGGAGUCGCGGGUUAUCAGCUUGUUGGUGGGGUACUGGCUUACCAAGGCUUUGACGGGUAGCCGGCCUGGGAGGGUGACCGGCCACAUUGGUACUGAGAGACGGCCCAGACUGCUAUGGGAGGCAGCAGUGGGGAAUAUUGCACAAUGGGCGGGAGCGUGAUGCAGAGACGCCGCGUGCGGGAUGACGGCCUUCGGGUUGUAAACCGCUUUCGCCUGUGACGAAGCUUGAGUGACGGUAAUGAGUAAAGAAGCACCGGCUAACUACGUG
Molecule: ribosomal RNA, 468 nt
Filed under: uncultured bacterium
Lineage: Bacteria
Description: partial 16S ribosomal RNA
Rfam family: Bacterial small subunit ribosomal RNA
Source: RNAcentral